This is a long non-coding RNA of Mauremys reevesii (Reeves's turtle), 531 nucleotides long. RefSeq lists it as uncharacterized. The transcript is spliced from 3 exons. Lineage: Eukaryota; Metazoa; Chordata; Testudines; Geoemydidae. The record is from RefSeq and is a predicted model, not a curated record.
CAAGUCGUCUGGGCCUGGACUCCCCUGAAAGGAGGCAGCAAUCCUGUGACAGUUUGAAACUCUGCUGCCUAGGUCAAAGGGAGACAAGAAAGAAGAGGAUCAACUGACACUAGAAACAUCUUUCCCUCAAAGAUUCAUUUUUCCUUGAUUCUCUUCAGCUGUAACAUAAAGGAGUCUCUUGAGCAUGUGGGCAGUAGAGUUUCAGUGGAUCAGAAGUUCAUGCUUCACUGAAUGCAUUGGCAAGUUGGUGACCAUCUGUAACAUAUUCCAGAAUUUUGUUUUACACUGAAACACUGAAUAAAUUAAAUUUCAGAUUUCCAAACAGAUAAAAUGGUGUUCUGCAGAAUCCUUCAUUAAAUCAGACUCAAUUAAAAAAUAUUAGUUCUAUCAAACCAUACUAUUUACAACAAAUUCUCUUGGCUUGGGGAAGCAUGUCCCAGAACAACUUCUACAACAGAAGAAUCAAGAUCUCCAGACCUGCGCAACUCCUUUCGCUAUGUAGGCCCCUGAGAAACAACAAGCAUGGAGAAU